This 2766-nucleotide ribosomal RNA is filed under the name Phocaeicola vulgatus. Its description in RNAcentral is "bacterial LSU rRNA". It matches the Rfam family "Bacterial large subunit ribosomal RNA". Lineage: Bacteria; Pseudomonadati; Bacteroidota; Bacteroidia; Bacteroidales; Bacteroidaceae. The record is from RNAcentral.
GGAAAGUAAAGAAGGGCGCAUGGCGGAUGCCUUGGCUCUCGGAGGCGAUGAAGGACGUGAUAAGCUGCGAUAAGUUUUGGGGAGGUGCAAAUGACCUUUGAUCCAGAGAUUUCCGAAUGGGACAACCCAAUAUCUUGAAGAGGUAUUAUCCAACGUUGUUGGAGGCUAACGCAGGGAACUGAAACAUCUUAGUACCUGCAGGAAAAGAAAAUAAACAAUGAUUCCCCCAGUAGUGGCGAGCGAACGGGGAACAGCCCAAACCAUCCAUGUUACGGCAUGGGUGGGGUUGUAGGACUACGCCGUUGCAUGAAGACAUCAGAGAAGAACUUUCUGGAAAGAAAGACCAUAGAGCAUGACAGUUGCGUAUUCGAAUGUUGUCGAAGCAUAGUAGUAUCCUGAGUAGCGCGGAGCACGAGGAAUUCUGCGUGAAUCUGCCGGGACCAUCCGGUAAGGCUAAAUACUCCCGAGAGACCGAUAGCGAACCAGUACCGUGAGGGAAAGGUGAAAAGCACUUCGAACAGAAGAGUGAAAUAGUUCCUGAAACCGUGCGCCUACAAGCGGUCGGAGCUCGUUAAUGAGUGACGGCGUGCCUUUUGCAUAAUGAACCUACGAGUUGCCUUUGCCGGCAAGGUUAAGUGUGACGACACACGUAUCCGAAGCGAAAGCGAGUCUGAACAGGGCGUAUAGUCGGCAGUGGCAGACGCGAAACCAAGUGAUCCACCCUUGGCCAGGUUGAAGGCUGGGUAACACCAGCUGGAGGACCGCACCAAUAAGCGUUGAAAAGCUUCUGGAUGAGCUGAGGGUAGGGGUGAAAGGCUAAUCAAACUUGGAGAUAGCUCGUACUCCCCGAAAUGCAUUUAGGUGCAGCCUUGCGGGUUACUGAUGUGAGGUAGAGCGACUGAUAAGAUGCGAGGGCUUCACCGCCUAUCAAGUCUUGACAAACUCCGAAUGCGCAUCAGUUCUACCGCAGGAGUGAGGGCAUGGGUGCUAAGGUCCGUGCCCGAGAGGAGAAGAAUCCGGACCACCUGCUAAGGUCCCGAAAUGACAGCUAAGUUAAACUAACGAAGUCUGACUGCUAAGACAGCUAGGAUGUUGGCUUGGAAGCAGCCAUUCAUUUAAAGAGUGCGUAACAGCUCACUAGUCGAGGAGUCGGGCGUGGAUAAUAAUCGGGUAUCAAGUUGUCUACCGAAGCAGUGGGAUCAUUAAUAUGAUCGGUAGGGGAGCAUUCCAGUCAGCGUCGAAGGCGUACCGUGAGGUAUUCUGGAGCGUCUGGAAAAGCAAAUGUAGGUAUAAGUAACGAUAAAGGGGGCGGGAAACCCCCUCGCCGAAAGACUAAGGUUUCCUGAUCAACGCUAAUCGGAUCAGGGUCAGUCGGGUCCUAAGGCUCAGCCGAACGGCGAUGCCGAUGGCAGAAACGGUUAAUAUUCCGUUACUACCUUCAGGAGUGACGUGGAGACGCAGUAGUGACAGUGCCGCCAUCUGACGGAAUAGAUGGUUGAAGGGUGUAGGAGUCGAUCAUGGCAGGCAAAUCCACCAUGAGAUCCGAACCUGACAGUAUGCCGCGUCCUUCGGGACAAGGCAAUAGUGCGCGUAAGCAUGCUGCCGAGAAAAUCCGCUAAACUUAAUCCUGCAGGUACCCGUACCGCAAACGGACACACGUAGUCGGGAUGAAUAUUCUAAGGCGCUUGAGUGAUUCACGGUUAAGGAACUAGGCAAACUGACCCUGUAACUUCGGGAUAAAGGGUCCCUACCCUUUUAUGGGAGGGCGCAGAGAAUCGGUCCAGGCAACUGUUUAACAAAAACACAGGGCUGUGCCAAAUCGAAAGAUCCAGUAUACAGCCUGACACCUGCCCGGUGCUGGAAGGUUAAGAGGAGAUGUCAUCGAUAAGAGAAGCGUUGAAUUGAAGCCCCAGUAAACGGCGGCCGUAACUAUAACGGUCCUAAGGUAGCGAAAUUCCUUGUCGGGUAAGUUCCGACCUGCACGAAUGGUGUAAUGAUCUGGACGCUGUCUCAACCGUGAGCUCAGUGAAAUUGUAGUAUCGGUGAAGAUGCCGAUUACCCGCGAUGGGACGAAAAGACCCCGUGAACCUUUACUAUAGCUUAUCAUUGAAUCUGGGCACGUGAUGUGUAGGAUAGGUCGGAGGCUUUGAAGCAGGUACGCCAGUAUUUGUGGAGCCGCUGUUGAAAUACGACCCUUUAUUUGUUUGGAUUCUAACCCGUGGAUACGGGGACAUUGAUUGGUGGGUAGUUUGACUGGGGUGGUCGCCUCCAAAAGCGUAACGGAGGCUUCUAAAGGUGCCCUCCGGCCGAUUGGUAACCGGCCUUAGAGUGUAAUGGCAUAAGGGCGCUUGACUGGGAGACUGACAAGUCGAUCAGGUAGGAAACUAGAGCAUAGUGAUCCGGUGUUUCCGUAUGGAAGGGACAUCGCUCAAAGGAUAAAAGGUACUCCGGGGAUAACAGGCUGAUCCCUCCCAAGAGCUCAUAUCGACGGAGUGGUUUGGCACCUCGAUGUCGGCUCGUCACAUCCUGGGGCUGGAGAAGGUCCCAAGGGUUGGGCUGUUCGCCCAUUAAAGUGGCACGCGAGCUGGGUUCAGAACGUCGUGAGACAGUUCGGUCUCUAUCUAUCGUGGGCGUAUGAAAUUUGCGUGGCUCUGACACUAGUACGAGAGGACCGUGUUGGACAGACCUCUGGUUUGCCGGUUGUGCCGCCAGGUGCAUUGCCGGGUAUCUAAGUCUGGAUCGGAUAAGCGCUGAAAGCAUCUAAGC